GAAAACGGAGAGGUCAUGAACUUGUUGUAACCAGUUUAAACCGUUUAAAGUUAAUGCUGUUAAUGAACAUAAAGACUGGAUGUUUUAUCUCUGUGUCACUUGGUACAAAACGGGAGAGUGAGCCGUGUUUGGAGCUGUUUCAGCCAGUAAACUUCGGGGACGCCAUUUUCUGAUGUGAGCUAAUGCUAGUUAGCUUUGCCCUGCUAGCUGGGAAGAGAAGACUGAGUGUGUGUGGGAGACAUAUCUUGCGCCAAUUUUCUGAUGUGCCUCAGUGCCUACAUGCUACCUGCGGUCUACUGACUCUGCUGCUGUUGCUGAGAGGGUGCUCAGGACUUCAUCUCACACCUUGCUGCUGGACAGAGGAUUUUGAGAAAGCUGCUGCUAACAGUGUCUGCGUUCUCAAGGAUCAUCUCUUCACAAAUCUAGCUUGAGAGUCAGUCAGAGGCAGACGGCAGAGCGCAGAGAGAGUGGAGAGACU
Epinephelus moara (kelp grouper) is the source of this 478-nucleotide long non-coding RNA. RefSeq lists it as uncharacterized. NCBI's taxonomy places the organism in Eukaryota, Metazoa, Chordata, Actinopteri, Perciformes, Serranidae. The record is from RefSeq and is a predicted model, not a curated record. The transcript is spliced from 3 exons.